AUGAAAAGAUGUAGGAUCGUGUUUCGACCCGAACGAGUCGUUCAGAGGAGUUUUGAUCAGAUACAGAUUAUAGCCAAAUCUCACACCGGCAGCACCUCGGUAUGAAAUUGCACAACUGUUCUAUGAUUUCGCUCAAGAGACCAUAUAUAUAGGGUUGGUGAUUUCGCUCCAAGGUACAUGGCCUUAUGAGCGAAACCCUAACAUGUCCAUAUUAGCGAAACCCCUAGGUCCAUAUAAGCGAAAUCAUCAUUCUAAUUACAUAUAUUCUCCAAUUUUCUCGUAACACGUGCCCUAAUCUAUACAAUUCAAUGUAAGACUCGAUACAAGACGAAGUCGAC
This 338-nucleotide long non-coding RNA is filed under the name Helianthus annuus (common sunflower). RNAcentral's name for it is "sRNA HanXRQr2_Chr11g0489431". The record is from RNAcentral. Lineage: Eukaryota; Viridiplantae; Streptophyta; Magnoliopsida; Asterales; Asteraceae.